AGUGAACGCUGGCGGUAGGCCUAACACAUGCAAGUCGAACGGCCGCACAGUAAGAUCUUGCUCUUACUGUUGGCGAGUGGCGGGCGGGUGAGGCAUACAUCGGCAUCUACUUUUUCUUGGGGGAUAACGUAGGGAAACUUACGCUAAUACCUCAUACGUCCUACGGGUGAAAUCAGAAGAUCUUCGCACCUUUCCCGUUUGUAUGAGCCGAUGUCGGAUUAGCUAGUUGGCGUGGUAAAGGCCCACCAAGGCGACGAUGCGUAGCUGAUCUGAGAGGAUGAUCAGCCACACUGGAACUGAGACACGGUCCAGACUCCUACGGGAGGCAGCAGUAGGGAAUAUUGCGCAAUGGGCGAAAGCCUGACGCAGCCACACCGCGUGAGUGAAGAAGGCCUUCGGGUUGUAAAGCUCUGUUAUUGGGAAAGAACAGCAGCGGAAGAAUAUGUCCAUGUUCUGACGGUACCUAAAGAGAAAGCACCGGCUAACUACGUG
This 492-nucleotide ribosomal RNA is filed under the name uncultured bacterium. Its description in RNAcentral is "partial 16S ribosomal RNA". It matches the Rfam family "Bacterial small subunit ribosomal RNA", at positions 29 to 507 of the family's 1533-position model. The record is from RNAcentral.